CUACGGGUUGCUGCAGUGAGGAAUUUUGCGCAAUGGGGGAAACCCUGACGCAGCAACGCCGCGUGAGCGAAGAAGGCCCUCGGGUCGUAAAGCUCUGUCAAGUGGGAAAAAAAUUUUUUGAUCAAUAGUCAAAAGACUUGAUGGUACCACUGGAGGAAGCACCGGCUAACUCCGUGCCAGCAGCCGCGGUAAUACGGAGGGUGCGAGCGUUGUUCGGAUUUACUGGGCGUAAAGAGCGUGUAGGCGGUUUAGCAAGUCAGAUGUGAAAGCCCUGGGCUCAACCCGGGAAGUGCAUUUGAAACUGCUUCACUAGAGUAUGGGAGAGGAGAUUGGAAUUCCUGGUGUAGAGGUGAAAUUCGUAGAUAUCAGGAGGAACACCCGUGGCGAAGGCGAUUCUCUGGACCAAUACUGACGCUGAGACGCGAAAGCGUGGGGAGCAAACAGGAUUAGAUACCCUCAUAGUC
RNAcentral lists this ribosomal RNA (464 nucleotides) under uncultured bacterium. RNAcentral's name for it is "partial 16S ribosomal RNA". It matches the Rfam family "Bacterial small subunit ribosomal RNA", at positions 339 to 795 of the family's 1533-position model. The record is from RNAcentral.